GUCCCACUGUCGUGUACGAGAUGAGGUAAACAUCUUGAGCCGAUAUCGCACAUGCCGGGAGUUGAACGUAGUGCUGUGAGCCUGCUUGCCUUUGAGUAAGACGCCUGAUGCCCUACAAGAGACACCCACCUAGUUUAACUGGGUUCAAUGCUGCGCACCUCAACGGCACGAUGGGGGACUU
Molecule: non-coding RNA, 181 nt
Organism: Piscirickettsia sp.
Lineage: Bacteria; Pseudomonadati; Pseudomonadota; Gammaproteobacteria; Thiotrichales; Piscirickettsiaceae
Source: Rfam